GCCCUACGGGGUGCAGCAGGCGCGAAAACUUUACAAUGCUGGCAACAGCGAUAAGGGAACCUCGAGUGCCAGGUUACAAAUCUGGCUGUCGAGAUGCCUAAAAAGCAUUUCAUAGCAAGGGCCGGGCAAGACCGGCGCCAGCCGCCGCGGUAACACCGGCGGCUCGAGUGGUAACCGUUAUUAUUGGGUCUAAAGGGUCUGUAGCCGGCCGGAUAAGUCUCUUGAGAAAUCUGGCAGCUUAACUGUCAGGCUUUCAGGAGAUACUGUCUGGCUCGAGGCCGGGAGAGGUGAGAGGUACUUCAGGGGUAGGGGUGAAAUCUUGUAAUCCUUGAAGGACCACCAGUGGCGAAGGCGUCUCACCAGAACGGACUUGACGGCAAGGGACGAAAGCUAGGGGCACGAACCGGAUUAGAUACCCGGGUAGUCCUAGCCGUAAACGAUACUCGCUAGGUGUCGGCCACGGUGCGACCGUUGUCGGUGCCGUAGGGAAGCCGUGAAGCGAGCCACCUGGGAAGUACGGCCGCAAGGCUGAAACUUAAAGGAAUUGGCGGGGGAGCACCACAACGGGUGGAGCUUGCGGUUUAAUUGGAUUCAACGCCGGAAAUCUUAC
Molecule: ribosomal RNA, 610 nt
Filed under: uncultured archaeon
Lineage: Archaea
Description: bacterial SSU rRNA
Rfam family: Archaeal small subunit ribosomal RNA
Source: RNAcentral